Molecule: ribosomal RNA, 407 nt
Filed under: uncultured bacterium
Lineage: Bacteria
Description: partial 16S ribosomal RNA
Rfam family: Bacterial small subunit ribosomal RNA
Source: RNAcentral
GACGAACGCUGGCGGCGUGCCUAAUACAUGCAAGUAGAACGCAGUUGCGAACGGGUGAGUAACGCGUAGGUAACUGCCUCAUAGCGGGGGAUAACUAUUGGAAACGAUAGCUAAUACCGCAUACUGUGAGAUGGACCUGCGUUGUAUUAGCUAGUUGGUGAGGUAAAGGCUCACCAAGGCGACGAUACAUAGCCGACCUGUGAGGCUGUUCAGCAACCCUGGGACGGAGAAACGGACCAGCGUCCUACGGGUGGAAGCAGUAUGGAAUCUUGGGCAAUGGACGAAAGUCUGACCGAGAAACGCCGCGGGAGUGAAGAAAGUUUUCGGAUCGUAAAACUCUCUUGUUAGAGAAGCGGUAUCUAACCAGAAAGCCACGGCUAACUACGUGCCAGCAGCCGCGGUAAUAC